This 253-nucleotide ribosomal RNA is filed under the name uncultured bacterium. RNAcentral's name for it is "partial 16S ribosomal RNA". It matches the Rfam family "Bacterial small subunit ribosomal RNA", at positions 524 to 776 of the family's 1533-position model. The record is from RNAcentral.
UACGAAGGGGGCUAGCGUUGUUCGGAAUUACUGGGCGUAAAGGGCGCGUAGGCUGUGCUGUAAGUCAGGCGUGAAAGCCCCGGGCUCAACCUGGGAAUUGCGCUUGAUACUGCGGCGCUGGAAGGUGGGAGAGGAUGGCGGAAUUCCCAGUGUAGAGGUGAAAUUCGUAGAUAUUGGGAAGAACACCGGUGGCGAAGGCGGCCAUCUGGCCCACAAUUGACGCUGAGGCGCGAAAGCGUGGGGAGCAAACAGG